AUCUUUCUGUGCCUCAGGGAAAGCUUCUCAGGCCUUCUUACAAUGAAGGAUCAAUAAAAGCCUGAUAAAGUGAGUCAUGAGAUGAGUGUGUCAAGAAGGAAGCAUGUGAUAAUCUGGAAUUAGAAAGAAGUUGUUGGUUUAUGUGAACUAAAGGUAAUUGAGCACGGUGAGAGUGAGGUCAGGAGUACUGAGUUUUGAGCCUGGAAAUGAAGAUGAUGAAGCAUGAGAAAUCCUUCUUGAAGCAUAGGUUUUUAUCCGAAGCACAGUGAAGGAAUAACUGUAGAAAAAGGAAAGAUUGAAAUCAGGACUGGAAACUCAGAGGAUGUUACACAAAUCCAGGCAAGAAAUUGGCUACUGUCAUAAUCUCUGGGAUACAGAUUUAGAAUGAUGAAUACAAUUUUGGUAGCAUAGAACUUAAGUUGCUUAUGAGAUAUCCAAGUGGGUGUAUUUAGUAGGCAGUUGGAUACAUGUUUUGGCACUCAAGAAAGAAAUCAGAGGUGAAAUCAUUGCUUGAGAUUAUUUGUUUACUCACUCAUUUAAAAAUAUUAUUGAUAAUUUAUCAUAACCAGUACUUGGCAUUGACUACGAGGUGCUGAUGCUGCAUAAGAGAGAAACAGGCCAAAAUCUUCAUCUUCAUGGAAUUCCUCAGCUGGAAAGACAGAAACAAACCAAAAAAUGAUACACGAUAUCUCAGAGAAUUAUAAGUUAUCAAUAGAAAAAUAAAGCAGAAAAGAAAGGCAAGUCAGAAAAGAUGUGAAAUUUUAAAUCAAACAUUAUGAGAAAUAAUCACUAGGGUAUUAAUUAAGCAAAGAUUAAAGAAGGCAAAGGAGAAAACUGUGCACAUAUCAGGAAGCAAUGAUUCAGAUGAAGGGCCCGAGACGUACCAUGUAUAGAUGGACAGAACAUCUAUACAUCCCUAUAUCUUGGUAAUUAAAUCACAGGAGACACAGAAUGAUGAUGAUGGAAAAGGAGGAGAGGGAGAGAAAACAGGAAGAGGAAGAGUGAGGAGAAAGCAGAAGGAGGAGGAACAGGAGAGGGAGGGAGAGAGGAGAAAGAAAAGGAAGAGGAGAAAAGGAGGAGAGGAAAAGGAAGAGAGAAAGAUGGAGAGAGACAAAAGGAAGAGAGGGAAACAGAAAGGAAGUGAAGGAUCCCUAGUGGCGGUAAAGUAAAAUCAUUGGGUGCCCAACUGGAAUGCAACACUGUGUUUCUUAUCAAGAAGAUGAAAGGGGAAAUCAUGAAAGAUCUUUGGUUCUUAGAGUGGAUCAUGAACAAUUUCACAUUUGUAUGACAAUGAUGGAAGGAUGAGGAAGCUGAUAAUGGUACUAUGCUCAAGUUUUAAAAAGUAGUGUGAACUAACACAACCACUGUGGAAAUCAGCAUGAAGAUUCC
Molecule: long non-coding RNA, 1389 nt
Filed under: Fukomys damarensis (Damara mole-rat)
Lineage: Eukaryota; Metazoa; Chordata; Mammalia; Rodentia; Bathyergidae
Description: lncRNA (ENSFDAG00000027998.1)
Source: RNAcentral